Molecule: non-coding RNA, 4932 nt
Organism: Vicugna pacos (alpaca)
Lineage: Eukaryota; Metazoa; Chordata; Mammalia; Artiodactyla; Camelidae
Source: RefSeq, a predicted model, not a curated record
CAGCUGAUCAAACCAGGGGAAUCUCUGUCCACACCCUUUCAAAGUGAAGCAUUGCACUUGUCCUUUUCCAGUUUCUGCCAGGGCCUUUGGUGGUCUUUUCUGCUCUCUGAAUGCCUGAGAGGGCUGUCUGGGGUGGUCUUUGUUCUUGUAAGGAGGUAUUUUAGGGGCUUGUUAGAACUGUGCUGUGCUCUGGCGUAUAGAGUGAAAUGGCAAGGAUAGAGGGGGUUACAGUUUACGUUCCGAACCUUCAAAGAGACAACCUCCUGGCUCCUAGGUACAGAGCUCGAGAUCAGCCAUCUCCCCCUGAGAGUUCUCCUCGAGCCUCCUUCCUUCUGUGGGUUCCCACGGCCAGACUAGGGGAUUGGGUCAUAUUACAUUCUACACUUCAAACAAUGCUUCAGGAAAAGAGGCAGUGUGUCCUGCCUUUGUGCAGUUAGAGCCUUGGGGUAGUGUUCUUAAAAUGCAUUAAGGGAAAGUGGAAUCUAUGCUGCUAAACAAACAAAUCCAGCGUCCAACAUUUUGGGUGGCACAGGGAGACUCUGUGAGGUGAUGUUUUACCCCAUUCUGACUGUGCUCGUUGGGAAAAGUAUCAGGGUAUGUUUUUUAGACUGGAGCAGAGGGUUCCUCUGGAAAAAGGGUUUGAGAUUUAAGAGAAGGUUGAGUGUCAGUAAAAGCAUCGCCUACACAGCUUUUCCAUUGGCAUCUGCACUAGUGGAGACCAAGGCAGCAAUUGUGUUGGGCACAAUCAUGGUAUUUAUCUCACCAAGAUGUAUGUAAGAUGUCAGUAUCUUUAAUUCAUGGCUGGCCACCUGCACAGGAAACCAGGCAGACAGAAUAUACUUUAGGAUCUUAAUUUAAACCUAUUAAAGUUUUUCUUCUCUUUUGAAAAGUGAUAAGGAGAUUCAUAAUCUAUGGUUUAGGUAGACACUUACCAACCAAAUAUUUUUAAGAGUUUUAAAGCUUUUAAAUGGGAAGAGCUAUACCCCAAACCUGUCAAGGGUCAGUGGUCAAAACAAAUCUCACAUGCCACAUGGUAUGGGUCUAAAGGUCUUUAUUAGGGAAAGGGGAUUUUCAUGAAGAGAAAGCACAGAUUCCCCAUCCUUUCAUGACCCACAGAGAAGCCUGCUGGACGUGCAGCAUGGGCUCAUUUUUACAGGGUGAACUUGAGAAAGCAUUUAUUGAUGGGCCAAUGAGCAGGUUGUCUGGUACCAGGCAGUCUGCAUUUCGGGUGCUAAUUAUGCACUGAGGCUAUCUGGGAAUGCUGGCAGCCCAGCACCUUGGCUUGGGAACCCAUGAGAAGUUACAGACCCUCUACAAAAGGGAAGGGAGCCACCGGUCCCUGGGAAGCUGAGUUUUGGUGAAACCCUUCCCACUAGAGAGGGGAGGUGAAGCCCCCUUCCCAAGUCACAGCUGGCUCAUUUCCAGGUAAUCCAGCAUGAGCUCCUAGGGAUGCUUGUGGGCAGUUCUGGUCAUUGCAUCAUUGCAUCACAAAUAUGCUCAGAUAUAAUAGUGUCUGAGCGUAUUUCACAAAGUCUAAUCUUGGCUGUUGGCAAAGCUGAAACAACCUCUCUCACACGUAUCAUUUUGGUGUUAAAACCUUGUCCCACUUCAGCUCCAUCAUGACCUGUCAAUGCAGCCGGCCCCAUCUGUGCAGAUGGGAACCAGAACAUCAACCUGGAAAUAAAAUUGGAAAUCUGUUCUUCCUGCCAUCAAUAGGUGAAUCUUUGACAGUGACGCAGUCACAAAUGGAGUACCAGAAGUCCCUAAAAUAAAGCUACAGUUUCAUUCAAGUACGUAGAGGACCACUGGUUUUCUUAAAAGGUGUGUGCCACCCAUGAAUAGCAAAGCUGCCAUUCCAGGAGAACCGUGAAGUAGAGGAAAGCCUGCGUGUACACUGUGUUGUUCGAGUCUAGUCGUGAGCUGUGUCCCGGUCCUCUUGCCAUUUUCAGCUGCACUUAUCGUUCCAGAGUCUGCAGGACACUGUUCUCCCUUCUGCAUGGCUCCUAGUGUGAGGUUGAACUCAACAAGGAACGCGCUCACCCUGCUUCUCUUACUCUGCAAAGCAGCAACAAACUGAUGCAAACUGUCAACACCCGGCAGAGCUGAGAACUCCCUGUCCUGUGCUGGGUUUCAGACUCUUCGCCCUCAGUUGUCGUCUGGGGAUUGCUGCUCUGUCCUGGAAUCCCCCUGAGCCUUGGUCCUGGAAGGACUUUGCUGAAAGCUCUAGCCAUAGAAGGUAUCUCACCUCUGACAGGCCCACUGAAUGAUCUGUGUUGUAUGGCAUCCUGUGGGAGGCAACAAACAAAAAGUAUUACCAAUAUAGUGCAACUCAAGAUUUCUGACUUCAGUCACGUCCACAGCCCUCAUGCUGAGAGGCAGACGUGAUGCUAUCACUUCAGAAUUCCCUCAGACAGCACAGAUACCAGUCAUGAAGUCCUGGUGCCUCAGAGGGUACAGCACUUCUCAAACCAUGUAUCCUGACCUGGUACAUUUCAGAAAAUAUGACUACCGAGUAAUGGAACCACGUCACGUGUGUACUUAACCUACCAUGAACUUCAGCCUUCGCUGAAACUGGGACUCGGCCACCUCCUUUCAUCCUCACAACCAACCACAAACAUUCCGGAGGCUUAAUAAUAGGUUCGUCCAAUCCCUGCAGGCGAGCAGGUGCUCUUUGGAAUUCUCCACCCACUCCUAGUCAGAAAUUUGAUGGGAAUGUUAAAGGAGAAUGAUUUCAGUAUUCAGAAACCUGCAUAGAAACGCAACCUCUGUCCCUUACUUUAGGUCACGUUGUCCUCAGGCUUUAGUUUGCAUAAGCAUUAACAAUUAGGAUCAUUUGUGUAAAACCUUGUGUUCCGGACUCUAUGGACAAUUCAAGGGAUUUUUCAAGGUUACUUUUAAAAUUUAUUUUUCAAAAUUAAAUAGCACAAAUGAAACAGAAUCAAAAUGUAUUUGAUGAAGAGUCUUGCCCCCAUCCCUCUCCCUCUGCCUAAUUUCCACCCAGUCCCACCAAAGAUCACCAGGAUCCCCACUGUUGUUAGUCUCUUGUGUGUUCUUCCAGAGUUCCUAGAGGCAAAUACAAGCAAAUAUGAAUGUGUAUUAUAACCUUCCUUUGUACAAACAUUUUCCUACAUUUUUUCUUUCAUUUUUCAGCAUAAGUUGGAGAUCUUUGUACAUAGCGAACAUCCUCAUUCUUUAUAUAUAUAUAUAUAUAUAAUCUACAUAUAUAUAUAGCUAUGUAUGUAUAUAUAUAUAUAGAAAGAGAGAGAGAGCUACAUAGAAUUCCAUUGUGUCGAUAGAUGGCACUUGUGUUGUUUCUGAUGUUUUACUAUUAAAAACAGUGCUGCAGUGAAUAACUUUGAAAACCCAUUAUUUUGAAUGUGUUGAAACUAAGCUUCAGGAUGAAUUCCAGAGCAGGGUUGCUGGGUCAAAGGGUAUAUGCCUUUGGAAUUUUGAUAGACGUUGCUAAAUUUCCCUUCAUAAGAUCAUUCCAAUUUACACUCUUGUCAGCAGGAUAGGUGAGUACCUGUUUUCUCAGCUUGUCGACAGCUUGUCAGCUGAAUGUGCUGUCACGUUUUUGUCUCUUUGCCCCUCUGAGAGAGUACAAGUGGCAUUUCAUUGUAGCUUUUGUUUUGAAUGUCUCCUACCAGUAGUAAGACCAAAUAUCUCUUCCUAUAUACAAGGGCUGUUUAUAUUUUCUCCAUGUGAUCUGUCUGCUUGCAUCUUUUGCCCACUUUUAUGUUGGCUUUUUCUUCUUGAUUUCCAGGAGAUUUCUAUAUACUUAGGAAGUUAACUUGUUGUCUGUGGUUUGGUUUGCAAAUAUUUUCCCCAGUUGAUGCUUGUCUUUGAACUUUGCUUAUUAUAUUAUUCUUUAUGCAGAAGUGUAUUAUUUUAUGUAAUUGAACUUUUUUAUUUUUGAUGAAAUUUAGAGUUUGAGUCAUAGUUAGAAAUACUAUAGGGAAAUUCUCUCAUGGUUUUUUUCUUUGGAUUUCAUUUCUGACAUUUGAACUUUUAAGCCUUUUUAUCAUGGUUUCUCUUGGUGUAGUGGUGUAUGUUAAGGUUGAUUUUGAUUAUUCUUGAUUUUUCACUUGGAACUGACCCUAAGUGAGAUAUGAUUUGCUACUGUGAUCAUUUGUGAACAAAUCUUCAGUUUCUGUCCUUAGAUAGAGGAGCAGAGGGUGUCUGGUCGGCUGCCCAGCCUGGGCAGUGUAAGGCAAACGGUUCUUAUCCUGGCCCUCCUCUACAUAAUAGUGCUGUUCCCCUUUUCAGUGGAUCUAUCAGGAACCCACAAAAGGAAUUCCUGUAGCUUUACCUUGGAAUGUGACCCCAAAAGUGCAGAAAAGCCCAGAAAAAAAGGGAUACUCCUCACACCCAGUGGAGAGUGAACCCAUUCCAAGUGGAGCAAGAGAAAACCAAAAGACAGUGAGGGACUGGGACAGCUGGAAACUGGGACAGGAGCCAAGAGAAACAGACUUCAAAUUCUAAAAUAUAAAAAAGGCAAAGAUGGGAACUUUCUGAGAGUCCAACGUCAGAUCUGGAAUUUGCGGUUUUCCUCAAUGGUUUCCCUUUAGGAGAACCAGGAGCUCUGCAGGUGUGCUUAGCGGCAGCAAGGGGCCCUUGGCGGCUGAGGGGACACGUUUGCACCCAGUGGUAAGAGAGAGAAAGGGCGACUGAAAUUAUGGGGGAGAAAAUGUGCUUUCCGGUCUGUGCUACUUCUGCAGGGAAGUACCCCACAAGAUAAAGGGAGUGUUUUCACAAGCACUGUGAGAACAACAUGCUUUGGAAGUUUCUGGAAAGACCCACUGCCAAAUAAGCAAAAGACCGAUUGGACCCAACGCCCCCAUCGCAGUCUCUAUGCCUUGGCACAUGGUCUUCGCCGUUCCUGGUGGCUUGCCUGCUGUGAGUGAUGAAUUGGCUGCCACGGUAGAGGUGGUC